AAAUAAUCCUUGAAAAUCUAAAUAGCUUGCCACUGCAACUUCAUAAUCCAGGUGAAUUAUCGGCUUAGACACUAUUGCAAGAAAAAAAGGUAAUAAAAAUUCCCCUUUUCUAUCAUGGAACUACAUAACCACGAAAAUUUAAAUUAUCGUAGUUGGCUGCGCCGAUUGACACACUAAAUAAUAUGUACUAGUUGACUUAUCACUUUCGCGUCAUGGUACAAAGAUCACCAGAUGACGCAAAUGCAUUUGCUUCGUUUUUUUUCGAUUCUGCCCUUGCCGGAUUCUAAUGAUCCCAUCGAUUAUGCAUUCCUUGUUAAGCUUAGUUUUAUCUUCGUUUAGUAAGCUAUUUAUAAUAAUAAAACGUUUAGAGGCGCAACUAUUGUGAUAAUGACUCAGCAGGUCAACAGAAUCAUACCCCAUGCGCCCCGCCUCUAUUCUUGAUUGUUCCAGGUAAAUGUAUAAAUAAGCGGGUAGUACAUCAGAGCAUCGAAAGUCAUCUCAAAUCGAGAGCGCAUAUUCAAUUUAAUGAACAUGUUGUUCAAUAACGCUAAUCCAAAUAGGACAGUACUAAUUGUGAUUUCAUUCUGCUCACUUUUCGUUUUUCGGUCAACUCUAGUUAAUGCCUUCAUUCUGAGGCAGACACACACACACACACACACACACACACACACACACACACACACACACACACACACACACACACACACACACACACACACACACACACACACACACACACACACACACACACACACACACACACACAC
This is a long non-coding RNA of Daphnia carinata, 767 nucleotides long. RefSeq lists it as uncharacterized. NCBI's taxonomy places the organism in Eukaryota, Metazoa, Arthropoda, Branchiopoda, Diplostraca, Daphniidae. The record is from RefSeq and is a predicted model, not a curated record. The transcript has 3 exons.